Long non-coding RNA from Pseudophryne corroboree (corroboree frog), 295 nucleotides. RefSeq lists it as uncharacterized. The transcript has 3 exons. Lineage: Eukaryota; Metazoa; Chordata; Amphibia; Anura; Myobatrachidae. The record is from RefSeq and is a predicted model, not a curated record.
CUUCAACACAGCGGGGGGAGAAUGCAGUAGCCUGUGAAAUUGGUGCCAUAUCGGUGAUUUUCCGGCACAUUGCAGGCUUCAUCAGGAUCCCCUCAAUCCUCUUAGGCUGCAUCCCCACCUCUAUAUACAGAGACACUAAAGCGGUCUGCGCAGCCUUCAACCAAAGCAUGUAACAGUAUCUAUCUUCAAGGUUUGAUACAUCUCCCCCUAUGGAUGACGUUUACUUACAGUAGCCUAUGGUAUAUUCUCCGUUUCCCAUACAAGAGUGAAGAUGUGGACUUGUAGAAAAGUUGUU